UCGGGAGAGGUUCAUAGCGACCCUCUAUAAAAAACUAUGGAUGA
Molecule: non-coding RNA, 44 nt
Filed under: Sporosarcina sp. Marseille-Q4063
Lineage: Bacteria; Bacillati; Bacillota; Bacilli; Caryophanales; Caryophanaceae
Description: PreQ1 (pre queuosine) riboswitch aptamer
Rfam family: PreQ1 (pre queuosine) riboswitch aptamer
About the family: This family is a bacterial riboswitch that binds to the metabolite preQ1, an intermediate in the biosynthesis of the modified nucleoside queuosine from GTP. One example of this riboswitch is located in the leader of the Bacillus subtilis ykvJKLM (queCDEF) operon which encodes four genes necessary for queuosine production.
Source: Rfam by way of RNAcentral